UCGAGCGGUAACAUUUCUAGCUUGCUAGAAGAUGACGAGCGGCGGACGGGUGAGUAAUGCUUGGGAAUAUGCCUUUACGUGGGGGACAACAGUUGGAAACGACUGCUAAUACCGCAUAAUGUCUUCGGACCAAAGGAGGGGACUCUUCGGAGCCUUUCGCGUAAAGAUUAGCCCAAGUGGGAUUAGCUAGUUGGUAAGGUAAUGGCUUACCAAGGCGACGAUCCCUAGCUGGUUUGAGAGGAUGAUCAGCCACACUGGAACUGAGACACGGUCCAGACUCCUACGGGAGGCAGCAGUGGGGAAUAUUGCACAAUGGGCGAAAGCCUGAUGCAGCCAUGCCGCGUGUGUGAAGAAGGCCUUCGGGUUGUAAAGCACUUUCAGUUGUGAGGAAGAGGUAGGAGUUAAUAGCUGUUAUCUUUGACGUUAGCAACAGAAGAAGGACCGGCUAACUCCGUGCCAGCAGCCGCGGUAAUACGGAGGGUCCGAGCGUUAAUCGGAAUUACUGGGCGUAAAGCGUACGCAGGCGGCUUUUUAAGCCAGAUGUGAAAUCCCCGGGCUCAAC
Molecule: ribosomal RNA, 562 nt
Filed under: uncultured bacterium
Lineage: Bacteria
Description: bacterial SSU rRNA
Rfam family: Bacterial small subunit ribosomal RNA
Source: RNAcentral